UGUGGUUGCAACAAAAAGUGAUCUUCCCUCCAUCAGCAUCAUGCAUAGCAAUUAGCUGUAUUUUGAACUUCGUUCAACAACGUGGUCAAAUUCUUGUUUGUGUUUUAGUGAUAUUGUUAAUGAAAGGGCUUUAUAAGUGAUGACUUCUGUAUUUGUCCCUACAGUGCUUCAAUUGCUGCUGUUAGGCUCAAUGCAUGAUAGCAGUCUAUCUUAUGACAGCAGUCAACAUCUAAAAUGUAGACUGUUUUAAUCUUAUGUGCUGUUCUAGAAACUACUGCUGUAAUACUGAGAGUACAAACUGAGGUGUUUGCAUCCUAUAAUUGUAAGAGCGUAAGGCUUGUAGUCAUAUAGUGUAAAUUGUAUCUUCCUUGUGAAUAUAACACUAUUUUUUCAGUCUCUUAUCUAGGCCAAACCCUGCUGUGAAUGUACUGAAUGCCUUUCAGAUGAGGCUGACCUCUUCCACCACAGGAUCAAAUUGGCCUGACAGGUAGAGGAUUUGGGGGGUGGGGGGGGCAAAAAGCCUCACCCGAGAGCUGUAGAAAGCAGAGUCCAACUCAACACAUUUCAGGCAGCGAAGACCAUGGCUGCAAGACAAGUAACAAGAACGAAGGCAAUGUAACCAGAACCUCUAUCAAGCACUCAGUUCAAUCCUCAAAGGCCUAUAAAUAUUAUACAAGGAUGAACAAUUACAGCUGGACAGGAGGAGAAGCACGGCCAGUGUGAACAGCGUAUCGAAGUUCCGAUCCUGUAAUAUCCAGAUGCUUCUCUUUCAUCAGUGUUGGGGCUGCUGAUGCCUUACAGUGGCCCUGACUGAUCUUCUGGUCUUGAGGGGACAUCCCAAAACACAGUUUCUUUUCUGUUCCCACAUUUGGGCUGGUAAGUCAAGUGCUUGCUA
This 895-nucleotide long non-coding RNA is filed under the name Apteryx owenii (little spotted kiwi). RNAcentral describes it as "lncRNA (ENSAOWG00000012825.1)". Lineage: Eukaryota; Metazoa; Chordata; Aves; Apterygiformes; Apterygidae. The record is from RNAcentral.